AUGCAGUGGCAACGGCAAGAGGGAAUAAAUGAAACUAGAGUGUGAACUCACUUGGUGCCCGGUAGACGACGGAGGCGGCGCCGGCGAAGUCGCACGUCCCGCUUGCCCGACGGUUGCGCUGGUAGUAGCUGUUGAACGCGUGUGAGGCGUGCGCGACCAUGGUGUUGGGCUCGAAGCACGGCGCGCCCGGCUGGAUGGUGCUGCAGUCCGCGCCGUUGGCACACGCAUAGUUCAACCCAUCCAGCAGCCGCGCGUCCCCGACCGCCGCGUUCGCCACGCACCAGCUCGCGUUCGGGUCGCAGGUGCCUUCAGUUUCACACCACCAGGUUGAUCAGACGAUAGAUGACUGGAUCAUCAGCAUUAUUGUUUGCACGUUUGCAGUUUGCAUGAUCGGCAAACAAGACCUCUGAAAGCAGCAGCGAGCGAGGAAGCCGAGAACUCACCAGCUGGUUCUUGGUAGACGAUGUAACCGGCGCCGUUGAAGUCGCACGUCCCGUUGCUCCGGCCGUUCCGCUGGUAGUAGCUGUUGAACGCGUACGAGGCGUGCGCGACCACGGUGUCCGGCUCGAAGCACGUCGCGCCGGGCUGGAUGGCGCUGCAGUCGGCGCCGUGGCCGCACGCGUACUCCAGUGCCGCCUGCAGCCACGACUCCCCGACCGACGCGUUCGCCACGCACCAGCUCUCCGCCCCCGGCGCCGGCGGAACGCCGCCGCCGCGGAAGUCGAACUCGUACACCUUCUCCAUGUUGGGGUAGAAGAGGCCGAAG
This 766-nucleotide long non-coding RNA is filed under the name Sorghum bicolor (sorghum). Its description in RNAcentral is "long non-coding RNA (SBIC_LNC003794)". The record is from RNAcentral. Lineage: Eukaryota; Viridiplantae; Streptophyta; Magnoliopsida; Poales; Poaceae.